UUCCUACUCUUAACCUUCGUUGUUCCUAGAAUUGCUUUUAGAGAACAUGAACUCAGCAUAUCAGACACCUAACAAGUUGGGAGUUACAGUAUUUCUCGUAUCAUUUGGGGGUCCUUAUAUCAUCUCUACAUCACUUCUAGGGCUGUAGGUUUUGUUUUUUAAAGAACACUACAAGCUACAUGUGGUAGUGCAUGCACACCUGUAAUCCCAGCUCCCUGAGAGGCUGAGGCAGGAUUACAAUUUAGAGCCCAGCCUGGGCAAUUUGGUGGUUUAAUGAGAACUUGUCUCAAAAUAAUAAAAAAAUAAAAGUCUGGGGAUGUAACUCAGUGUGAAGGGCUUGGGUGCAGUCCCUAGUAUAACCAAAAACAAAACCAAAGCUGGGCAUGGUGGCGCACAUCUAUAAUCACAGCACUCAAGAGGCUGAGGCAGGAGGAUCGCUGCUAUGGAGACCUUGUCAUUAUAUCCUAAUUCAGGGAUGGGGAGUGUGAGGGUGAUACUACCUGCCAGGCUUGCCUUGACCCUAUGUUCGGGUGAUAUCUAUCAGGCUUCUUGAUAGAUAGAAAGCUACUUAUUUUUCAAGACUGGGGACCCAGGGCCUCAUCCAUGCUAGGCAAGUGCUCUACCACCAAGCUACACCUCCAGCCCUUAAGCAACUAUUUUUCACUUUCUAUAUGUUCUCUCCGGAAGUGAGACAAUAAGUCCGACCCAACCUUUGUGUAGGAAAGAGCAGGAAUUGGUCUGCACCUCCAGGAGGAAAUCUUUAUUUUUAAAAUAAAAAGUUACCUUAAACAAAAAAGCAAAACGCCAUGGUUUGAAAUGUGAAAGAUACCACGGAAGAGUCUGGCAUCUCUGUCCCCAUGCUUGCCUUGCUCUUGUGACUCAUUCUAGAGGUAUCCUGCAUGCUCGGUCAAUCACGUAUAUUUUGCUUUGCCUUUGUACACAAAGGCAGCUCUGUGACCACGCUGCUUUGCACCCAGCCAUAGAGCUGCUGGGACUGGUGAGACCCACUGUCCCACUCUGAGGACGGGAAAGUGAAUUCCACGCUGCACAGCCAGGGCCUGGCCACAGCCACCAGCAGUUAGACAAACACAAGUACCUGGCUUUGGGGAGCCCUAAGAGGCAAAGGAAAAUAAAAUCCAGGGCAGUGUUCAUUAUGAGGGCAAUUUGGUGAAAGUUAACUUUUAGGAGCAGAAAGUAUAGAAGAGGGCACAAACCGUGUCACUGAGAUAAAGCAAAAGGCUCAUGAGUAUAAUGCUUUGUUCCAUGUAAAAGGAAAAUAAAAACAGACUCCAGGAUCCUGAUUCCAGCCACAGGACUGUGGCAAGAUCUUGCUCAGAGAGGGAAGGGCUGCUUACCUUCUAGAAUCUGUCUCCUUGGACUGACAGUAUGUACAGUUAAUUGCUUUGCAGAAAUAAGAGCAGAGCAAACACCCCACCCAGGGCAGGGACGAGAUGCAGGUUCUUCUGAUCCAAACUGUUAGGCUCAAGGCCACACACCGUGGGCGCCCACAUGCCAGUGCUGCUCACUGCCUGCAGGAGGCAUCGCCUCAGCCUCAUGCCUGUCCAUCUGUCUGUCCAUCCACCAACAUCCACUGUCUGUCUAGCAUGUGGCUGACCCCGCACAGGAACGGGCAGGCUGUGGCUGCCUCACAGAGUGGGCAAUCUGAUGUGGCACUGGCCUAGCAAGUGUGCCCUGAGAUCUCCACGCUCCCCCUUGCACAGGCAACGGGGCGGCUUCAUGAAGGAGGGAACACACCAGCCACACUGGGCCCUUGGCAAUCGUGAUGUUGUUUCAUCCCCACAGGGGCCCCAUAAGGGAGAUACUGCCAUGCCCAUUGCGAAGGUAAAGAUGCUCGGGCAGAGAGGCCAGGUGACUGGCUUGGGUGGAACAGCCCCUAAGUGGCAAAGGUGGGCCUUGCCGAGGGAGGGGCUGGCAGCACAACCCAUGCUCCUCACCUCCGUGGUAUUCUGCUAUUUUUUCUCAGGGGCAAAUAGCCUCCUCAUUCUUUACCCUCCACAGAGAAUCCUCACUCCUGCCGCCACACCUCUGCUGUGCUGUUCUUCCGCCUGCGCUCCACACCCAUCUCUGUACCUCUUAAUCAUUGUUUGAAGCUCAUUUCGAACACAGAUCUGAACUGUAUGCCCAGCCUUUCCCCUCCCCAGCUCUGUGGCCUUGGGAAGUCUCCUCACCUCCCCAAGCCUCAUUAGUCUCGUCUCUAAAAUGGUUAUUGAAAGGCAUGGUGCCGAUGCCUGUAAUCCCAGGCAGGAGGCUGAAGCAAGAGGGUCACAUGUUCGAGCCCUGACUGGGCAACUUAGCAAGACUCUGUCUCAAAAUAAAAAUAAACAAAAAGGGCUGGAGAUACAGCUCAGUACAAGAAUACAACACGCACGGCAGCUUUGCCUCCCUUGCAGGAUGUCCUAAGGAUCCAGUGAGGUUAUGUCACACUUCAGGGUCAUAUGCCAAAAUGUGUCACCAACCGUUACUCAACUAUCAGCAACAAUUGCUUCCUUCUUGUUUUACUUAUUGAUUCAAUGAAUAUUCCUUGAGUAUUAACUAUGUGCUAGGCAUGGAGACUUAAGGCUGACCUGAAGAAGUGAGCCUGGGUUCGUAUGUAAUGCCUUAUAAAGUCCAGAUAUUUCUAUUUAUCCUCUCUGAAAGGUUGAGUUCCUCAAAGGCAGUGCUGAGGGUCUGUGGCAUUCUUGUGUCUUGCCUUGGUACCCAGCCAAAGCCCUAAGAUACAGAAGGUGCUUCGGGCCUGCACCUAUGCAUGGUAUGGGCUGGAGGCUGUAUUGACCCCCUCAUUACCAAGGAACCUUAAGCCAAACAAGAAUUCUUUCAAAAAGAACAUGUAAAGUAUAUGCUAUGCCAGAAACCAUGAUGAACAAGUCCAAGUUGCUGGCUCAGGGGGCUUCCAGGGAAAAGUGAGCAGGACGUUCAGUCCAUCGAAGUAAGGUGAUUUCCUCCCAUGGGGACACCCAGGGCUCUAGGUUCUUAGCAGAAUUAAUGGGGUAAUACUUAUUAGACAGAGCAGUGGACGGUUUGCUAUGGUGGAACUCUGCUGAGUGCUUCACAUGUUUAGUCAUCACAAUUCUGCCAGAUAGGCACUGUUAUGAUCAACUCCUUUACCAAAAGUCAUACGGGUGCUGGGAUUAGAACCCAGGUCUUGAAUGCAGACUUUCCCGGAUCAAGAAGAUUAGCAGAUGACACUGAAUCCACCUCCUCUACCUCUCAGAAAUCGGAUGAGGUGAGGCCCCCUAGGCCAGCGCCCUUGAUGGGCAUGCGCGGCCAAGGCGAGGCAGUCGCGGUGCUAAGGUCCCUGCACCCCCCGCACCACCAGCAUGGGGACCCCAGCCUCAGUGGUGACCAUGGCCCAGGGCCACCUGCUGGCCAAGGGCGCGCAGGAGCUGUUCUCCUUGGCCGUCACUUUCAGGUCACGGGUGGAUAAGAUACAAGAAGACCUUGUCACGCUGGCAAAAACAGCAAGUGGAAUCCUCCCACUCGGUGUUAUUUAUGAGAAAUACCAAGAUUUGUAUAUUGGGGAGCCGAAUAACGCCCAGCAGCUGGUGGAGAUCACAGCCAGGGGUAUUGAACAACUCAUAAGCAACAGAUGAAAAGCCCUGGAGUGCCUGGCUCUGGAAGCAGAGAAAGUGCAAGCAGCCCACCAGUGGCCAGAGGACUUUGCAGUAACGACCUGUCCAUCUCGCUCGAUUGAUGUCGACUGACAUUUCUAUGCAGAAGAGAAGACCACAAGCCAAGAUGCAGGUGGCCCUCGGAAGCUGGAAGAGACCAUUGUCUACAUAAGCCGAAGAGCCCUGGCGGGGGUGGUAGGGUGCCGGUGCUUCCAGACUCACUGAGGUGGACAUAGUUGGGCAAAUUUCCAGCCAGCAUCACCCCCAGAGAUGGUCCAGAAAGGUGAGGCUGAAGUCUGGAGUUGCCCCCAGCUUUGAAGGAGGACUCUGACUCUAUUAGCUGUGAUUAAUAUAUUUGCAAAUCGGACGACAAGAACUUCAGCACAAAACUAGAAACUAUGGUUCCAGCGCCUGCCUCGCAAGCGCAAGGUCCCGAGUUUGAUCCCUGGCACCAAAAAAAAAAAAAGUUUGCACAAAACUAGAAACUAUAAAAAAAGAA
Non-coding RNA from Heterocephalus glaber (naked mole-rat), 4128 nucleotides. The record is from RefSeq and is a predicted model, not a curated record. Lineage: Eukaryota; Metazoa; Chordata; Mammalia; Rodentia; Bathyergidae.